This 799-nucleotide ribosomal RNA is filed under the name Mycobacterium avium complex sp. RNAcentral's name for it is "bacterial SSU rRNA". It matches the Rfam family "Bacterial small subunit ribosomal RNA", at positions 56 to 857 of the family's 1533-position model. Lineage: Bacteria; Bacillati; Actinomycetota; Actinomycetes; Mycobacteriales; Mycobacteriaceae. The record is from RNAcentral.
UGCAAGUCGAACGGAAAGGCCUCUUCGGAGGUACUCGAGUGGCGAACGGGUGAGUAACACGUGGGCAAUCUGCCCUGCACUUCGGGAUAAGCCUGGGAAACUGGGUCUAAUACCGGAUAGGACCUUUAGACGCAUGUCUUUUGGUGGAAAGCUUUUGCGGUGUGGGAUGGGCCCGCGGCCUAUCAGCUUGUUGGUGGGGUGAUGGCCUACCAAGGCGACGACGGGUAGCCGGCCUGAGAGGGUGUCCGGCCACACUGGGACUGAGAUACGGCCCAGACUCCUACGGGAGGCAGCAGUGGGGAAUAUUGCACAAUGGGCGCAAGCCUGAUGCAGCGACGCCGCGUGGGGGAUGACGGCCUUCGGGUUGUAAACCUCUUUCACCAUCGACGAAGGUCCGGGUUUUCUCGGAUUGACGGUAGGUGGAGAAGAAGCACCGGCCAACUACGUGCCAGCAGCCGCGGUAAUACGUAGGGUGCGAGCGUUGUCCGGAAUUACUGGGCGUAAAGAGCUCGUAGGUGGUUUGUCGCGUUGUUCGUGAAAUCUCACGGCUUAACUGUGAGCGUGCGGGCGAUACGGGCAGACUAGAGUACUGCAGGGGAGACUGGAAUUCCUGGUGUAGCGGUGGAAUGCGCAGAUAUCAGGAGGAACACCGGUGGCGAAGGCGGGUCUCUGGGCAGUAACUGACGCUGAGGAGCGAAAGCGUGGGAGCGAACAGGAUUAGAUACCCUGGUAGUCCACGCCGUAAACGGUGGGUACUAGGUGUGGGUUUCCUUCCUUGGGAUCCGUGCCGUAGCUAACG